UGAAUUUCUCUUUCUACAUUG
RNAcentral lists this non-coding RNA (21 nucleotides) under Caenorhabditis elegans. The record is from RNAcentral. Lineage: Eukaryota; Metazoa; Nematoda; Chromadorea; Rhabditida; Rhabditidae.